UACAGAGGUCUCAAGCGUUGUUCGGAUUCAUUGGGCGUAAAGGGUGUGUAGGUGGCGCGCUAAGUCGGGUGUGAAAUUUCGGAGCUUAACUCCGAAACUGCAUUCGAUACUGGUGUGCUUGAGGACUGGAGAGGAGACUGGAAUUCAUGGUGUAGCAGUGAAAUGCGUAGAGAUCAUGAGGAAGACCAGUGGCGAAGGCGGGUCUCUGGACAAAUCCUGACGCUGAGGCGCGAAGGCUAGGGGAGCAAACGGG
Molecule: ribosomal RNA, 253 nt
Filed under: uncultured bacterium
Lineage: Bacteria
Description: partial 16S ribosomal RNA
Rfam family: Bacterial small subunit ribosomal RNA
Source: RNAcentral